UCCAGACUCCUACGGGAGGCAGCAGUGAGGAAUAUUGGUCAAUGGGCUUACGCCUGAACCAGCCAAGUCGCGUGAGGGAAGACUGCCCUAUGGGUUGUAAACCUCUUUUGCCGGGGAGCAAGCGUGCGUUCGUGAACGCGCGUCGAGAGUACCCGGAGAAAAAGCAUCGGCUAACUCCGUGCCAGCAGCCGCGGUAAUACGGAGGAUGCGAGCGUUAUCCGGAUUUAUUGGGUUUAAAGGGUGCGCAGGCGGAAUGUCAAGUCAGCGGUAAAAUUUCGGGGCUCAACCCCGUCGUGCCGUUGAAACUGGCGUUCUUGAGUGAGCGAGAAGUAUGCGGAAUGCGUGGUGUAGCGGUGAAAUGCAUAGAUAUCACGCAGAACUCCGAUUGCGAAGGCAGCAUACCGGCGCUCAACUGACGCUCAUGCACGAAAGCGUGGGUAUCGAACAGGAUUAGAUACCCCAGUAAG
Molecule: ribosomal RNA, 467 nt
Filed under: uncultured bacterium
Lineage: Bacteria
Description: bacterial SSU rRNA
Rfam family: Bacterial small subunit ribosomal RNA
Source: RNAcentral